RNAcentral lists this ribosomal RNA (253 nucleotides) under uncultured bacterium. RNAcentral's name for it is "partial 16S ribosomal RNA". It matches the Rfam family "Bacterial small subunit ribosomal RNA", at positions 524 to 776 of the family's 1533-position model. The record is from RNAcentral.
UACGUAGGGGGCAAGCGUUGUCCGGAAUCAUUGGGCGUAAAGAGCGUGUAGGCGGCCUGAUAAGUCGGUUGUGAAAGUCAAGGGCUCAACCCUUGAAUGCCGACCGAUACUGUCAGGCUAGAGUCCGGAAGAGGCGAGUGGAAUUCCUGGUGUAGCGGUGAAAUGCGCAGAUAUCAGGAGGAACACCAAUGGCGAAGGCAGCUCGCUGGGACGGUACUGACGCUGAGACGCGAAAGCGUGGGGAGCGAACAGG